RNAcentral lists this long non-coding RNA (1266 nucleotides) under Fukomys damarensis (Damara mole-rat). RNAcentral describes it as "lncRNA (ENSFDAG00000030306.1)". The record is from RNAcentral. Lineage: Eukaryota; Metazoa; Chordata; Mammalia; Rodentia; Bathyergidae.
ACUGUUUUAUUUUCAAGGAAAUAGUUUUAACCUCUCACCAAAGACGCCCCAGAAGGCCCUCGUCCUGGUUACGGGGAAGGAAUUAUAGCGGACAGUUGCUAUCAGGAGGUCGUCAUCUUAAGGUAGCACGGAUAAGAACUGCACUGGAGAGGGAAUCAUGUUCGGGUUUUUCCCCAGCUCGGAGAACGCAGAAGUGCGGCCGCGCUGCUGCACGGCAGUGGGGGACCUUGGUUCUUUCCCGGACCCUUCAGCUGGGAGCCCUUGAUCAGCGAGAGCAGCGCGCUAAGGUUUUGCAAGGAAAAUAUGACCACCGAACUGGAUAUUCGACUGCAUGAUCCACUCGAGCUGCUCUGCACUUGAGGCUGAAAGGCAAGUGAACGGACGGCACUGUGUGGUCUUGCACACUAAUGCACCCUAAAGUGUGAAGCCGCUUGGUGCAAGCCCUCCACACAUCUCCCUCUUCGUUAAUUGCUCCUCAUAGUGACUUCUUUCUGCCAACCUGAUACCAUAAGGACAGCACUGCCCUGAGUUUUGUGAGCCAUCUUACAAAAUUAUUGGCCCUAAGAGGGUAGUGUGAACACAGGAGUUUGUAACCCACUGACCCGAAGUGAGGGUGGUAUCCCAGGACACCCUGAACAUGUGCCUGACACCUUAAGUUGGGGCAGGACUCUGCACUGGGCUCACCUUCCUGAUUUAAAAACUUACUACAAAUAAAACUACUGCACUUGAAAUAGUGGGGUUCCAGCCUGUAGACCAGUGGGGGUGAAUCCAAGGUCUGUGUGCCAUGGCGGGCCCAGCGCAAGCACGGGAUAUUGGACUGGGUACCCAAGCACUGAAGGACAAUCACAGUGUCAGCACUUGGCAAUAAAUAAGUGGGCUGUGGGCUGAAGUUUGGGCUCUCAGUCUUUAAAAGGUUCGCCAGACAGACAAUGGAACAGAACUCAGAGUGCAGAAAUAACCCAGUACCUCUGUGAUCAAUGCCAGUCAGCUCUCAGCAGGUGUGCGGCGGUCGUACACUGGCAAAAUGCACCUGCACGUGCACAAGCCUGAAGUUAGACUCGCACUUCCUGUCUGUAAAAUUAAGAAAUCCAAGUGUAAGAGCCAACCUAUGUAGCUCUUAGAAGAAAAUACAGGGUUGACCUUUAUGACCUUGGAUUUUGCACUGCAGUUGUAGCCAUGAUAGAAAAAGCAUGAGGGAUAAAAAGGCAAAAAGCACCUGAUGAAUUGGACUUCAUCAGAUUUUAAAAUGUUCAUUGAAGAAUAUUU